This 84-nucleotide transfer RNA is filed under the name Candidatus Aenigmatarchaeota archaeon. RNAcentral describes it as "tRNA-Leu". It matches the Rfam family "tRNA". From Rfam's summary of the family: Transfer RNA (tRNA) molecules are approximately 80 nucleotides in length. Their secondary structure includes four short double-helical elements and three loops (D, anti-codon, and T loops). Lineage: Archaea; Nanobdellati; Candidatus Aenigmatarchaeota. The record is from RNAcentral.
GCGAGGGUUCCCGAGUGGACAAAGGGGCUAGGUUCAGGACCUAGUGGCUUAGUGCCUUCGUCGGUUCGAAUCCGGCCCCUCGCA